AAAAAAGUAUCAUCCAAAAGACACAGAUAUGUGGUUAUCUGAUAUAAAAUACAUCUAGUACAUAUACACUUAUCAACAAAACUGUUUAACAUACAUUUACACCUAUGGCUUUGACUAUGCAAUGCAAUUUUCUCCGAGGUACAAUAAUAUUUGAAUUCCUUUACAGUACCCUUUUGUGUUAGUUUGGAGACACUCACACCAAAUUUAUAUUUGAUACAGUACAUCACUAACAUGGUUUCAUUGACUUAAAUAUUGUUUCAGUUUAUAUCUGACGGAUAAAUUUGAUCAAAAGCUGGAAGUAUAAAAUAUUGAUUCACUGGUGGCUAAAUAUUCAAAGAUUUAAACGGGCUACUCAAAUGGUAAUAGUACAUAAUGCUGACGCAAAGCUAACCUGUCCUGCUUUAAAUUUUAAAAUCUGCGUUCUUGGCGGAGAAGUAGCAAAUGACUAAUAAUUUAAAGUUUUUGAAUUGACCUAACCGGUGAAAGAACCCACUAGAACCCACGAUAUCACGCUUUUAAUGCGAGCACUACCACGAGACCUUACAAGUGGCGUGGGAGUAUAAAAUGAGACUUUUAAAAUUAUUCUAUAUGACAAAUGAAGAAAUCAAAAACAAAUAAUAGACUUCGUAAGAAGUAAGAAUCGGUCAAGCUGAGUAGAAAAAGAAAACUAUUCCUAAUUAAAGUGGUAUUACAUUAAUCACAACCAUUUCAAACAUAUCACAUAUAAAUAAAGUUUGCCUAAAUC
Molecule: long non-coding RNA, 745 nt
Filed under: Mytilus galloprovincialis (Mediterranean mussel)
Lineage: Eukaryota; Metazoa; Mollusca; Bivalvia; Mytilida; Mytilidae
Source: RNAcentral